RNAcentral lists this ribosomal RNA (459 nucleotides) under uncultured organism. RNAcentral's name for it is "partial 16S ribosomal RNA". It matches the Rfam family "Bacterial small subunit ribosomal RNA", at positions 335 to 801 of the family's 1533-position model. The record is from RNAcentral.
ACUCCUACGGGAGGCAGCAGUGGGGAAUAUUGCACAAUGGGCGCAAGCCUGAUGCAGCGACGCCGCGUGGGGGAUGAAGGCCUUCGGGUUGUAAACUCCUUUCGCUAGGGACGAAGCUUUUUUGUGACGGUACCUAGAUAAGAAGCACCGGCUAACUACGUGCCAGCAGCCGCGGUAAUACGUAGGGUGCGAGCGUUGUCCGGAAUUACUGGGCGUAAAGGGCUCGUAGGUGGUUUGUCGCGUCGUCUGUGAAAUUCUGGGGCUUAACUCCGGGCGUGCAGGCGAUACGGGCAUAACUUGAGUGCUGUAGGGGUAACUGGAAUUCCUGGUGUAGCGGUGAAAUGCGCAGAUAUCAGGAGGAACACCGAUGGCGAAGGCAGGUUACUGGGCAGUUACUGACGCUGAGGAGCGAAAGCAUGGGUAGCGAACAGGAUUAGAUACCCGGGUAGUCCCCAUGAU